RNAcentral lists this ribosomal RNA (497 nucleotides) under uncultured bacterium. Its description in RNAcentral is "partial 16S ribosomal RNA". It matches the Rfam family "Bacterial small subunit ribosomal RNA", at positions 28 to 507 of the family's 1533-position model. The record is from RNAcentral.
GACGAACGCUGGCGGCGUGCCUAAUACAUGCAAGUUGAGCGCUGAAGGUUGGUACUUGUACCAACUGGAUGAGCAGCGAACGGGUGAGUAACGCGUGGGGAAUCUGCCUUUGAGCGGGGGACAACAUUUGGAAACGAAUGCUAAUACCGCAUAAAAACUUUAAACACAAGUUUUAAGUUUGAAAGAUGCAAUUGCAUCACUCAAAGAUGAUCCCGCGUUGUAUUAGCUAGUUGGUGAGGUAAAGGCUCACCAAGGCGAUGAUACAUAGCCGACCUGAGAGGGUGAUCGGCCACAUUGGGACUGAGACACGGCCCAAACUCCUACGGGAGGCAGCAGUAGGGAAUCUUCGGCGAUGGACGAAAGUCUGAACGAGCAACGCCGCGUGAGUGAAGAAGGGUUUCGGAUCGUAAAACUCUGUUGGUAGAGAAGAACGUUGGUGAGAGUGGAAAGCUCAUCAAGUGACGGUAACUACACAGAAAGGGACGUCUAACUACGUG